Molecule: long non-coding RNA, 634 nt
Organism: Teleopsis dalmanni
Lineage: Eukaryota; Metazoa; Arthropoda; Insecta; Diptera; Diopsidae
Exons: 4
Source: RefSeq, a predicted model, not a curated record
ACCGGUAAGACCGGUAAGACCAACCGCGAAGAGUCCCGAGAACGUUGUUCCGGAUUGUGGCCCUAGUGCAAAGAAGAAGAAAAAUAAAUGUCUCACGAAGAAGAAGAAGCCUGUAUGUAAGUCAAAGCUAAGCCCUAAGCCAAAAACAAAGCGCAAGGCCGGCAAGAAGCGGAAAAAACGCUUAUGCCAUUAAUAUCAACUUUUUUAGACUGGACAUCAAAAUUAUACUAUUGUGUAAGGUGGAAACUUGAAUCCAGUCUGUAGAACCAGUAACAAUUUCCACAUCUCGUGCUAUUCCUAAAUAAUUCUUAACAUGGUUAAGGUCACAACUCUUGAAACUCCAUAUAAUCCUUGCUCCACUCAAAUCCUUUUUAUUCCAAUUCCUUAAAUAAAAUAAGAAGAAGCGAUCCAAAAUACGUAUAUGUACCCAGGUUUGAAUACAUUUUUACGUUAAUGGAUCGAACCAUAAUUAAAUGUGUGGAUCUGUGGUUAUAUUAUCGGUUUUAGUCCUAUGUAAAAAUUAUUACUGUACGAAGCCACUAUUUGGAAACGAAAUUGUCUAUAAGUAAGAAUCUAUCAAAGGCAAUGGAAAAUGAUAAAUUAUUUAGUAGUAUAAAUAUUUGUUUGUAAAUAG